UACAGAGGGUGCGAGCGUUAAUCGGAUUUACUGGGCGUAAAGGGCGCGUAGGCGGUGAUGUGAGUGUGAUGUGAAAGCCCUGGGCUUAACCUAGGAAGUGCAUCGCAAACGACAUUACUGGAGUAUAUGAGAGGGUAGCGGAAUUUCCGGUGUAGCGGUGAAAUGCGUAGAUAUCGGAAGGAACGUCAAUGGCGAAGGCAGCUACCUGGCAUAAUACUGACGCUGAGGCGCGAAAGCGUGGGGAUCAAACAGG
Molecule: ribosomal RNA, 253 nt
Filed under: uncultured bacterium
Lineage: Bacteria
Description: partial 16S ribosomal RNA
Rfam family: Bacterial small subunit ribosomal RNA
Source: RNAcentral